UGACAGAGACAAAAUAUUUUUUUUUGUGAAACAAGCAUCUACAAAGAACCUGGCAAGAGGCUUUUUCUGAAUCAGAAUUGUAAUUCUGCAGUCACCGGGAUUUGGACAGUGCAUAGUAAAUGGACAAUGAAACUUCCAAGUAAACAAUAAGGAGAAAACAAAAUAUUGACUAUUUGCUCAUUAAUGGAGGAGAUUUUCUGUGCAGUGAAGGUGCUGCUUGUGACUCUAACCUAAGUGCCCAGGAAUGCUGUGCUGGCAGAAGAGGAUAAAGAAGGGCACCUACAACCAAGGAGAAGUGUGCUCGAUACUGGACACCUCGUGGCGUGAUACUUGUCUGCUGCCUGAUUUUCCUGUUCUGGUAGAACCUGAAUUUAGGAAGCCUUUCUCAGUGGUGAAGACCAACAUGUUUCCAAGGGGAUUCAAUAGUUUCGAACUGUGAUGCAGCAUAGAGAAUUACAUUUAUUUCAACACAUCUGAGGAAUUUGAUCUGUCUUUAAAAACUUCAUAUUUUUUCAUCUAUAUCUCUGCUACAGUUUUUCAACUAUUCAAAUACAGCAAGCAACUCAGAGCCACCCCAGCCUGAACAGGCUGAAACUGUAACAGACAGAAUUCCCUGACUUAAAUGUUGAAUAAAUCUAGAAACAUAAAUUUAUGGUAUGUAAUACAAGAAGUGGACUUUACCAUUACUUCAGGUUCUAAACUCAGUUUGGCCCUCCAUGCAUAUAAUUUAGGAAACAAAGGAAAGAUGGACAACUUAAAAUUCAUUGGAAUAUUACCUCUAUGAACUGACAACAAGCAAUUAAAAAACUCUGCAGUCUUCAGUGUGCUGGUGAUCAUACACG
This is a long non-coding RNA of Numida meleagris (helmeted guineafowl), 842 nucleotides long. RefSeq lists it as uncharacterized. The transcript has 3 exons. The record is from RefSeq and is a predicted model, not a curated record. NCBI's taxonomy places the organism in Eukaryota, Metazoa, Chordata, Aves, Galliformes, Numididae.